RNAcentral lists this long non-coding RNA (231 nucleotides) under Elaeis guineensis (African oil palm). RNAcentral describes it as "long non-coding RNA (EGUI_LNC040443)". The record is from RNAcentral. Lineage: Eukaryota; Viridiplantae; Streptophyta; Magnoliopsida; Arecales; Arecaceae.
GACACCCUGUUGAUUAGAUUCUUUGGUUAGAAGGAGAAAUUAUCCUUCCGAUCACUGUAGGUCAGAAACCUCAUCAAGCCACCAUGCAACAACUUUCCUCGUCAUUCAGGUAUCUUCGACCUACAAUGCAAUACUAGAUUGAUCUAAAUUGAAUGCACUCCAAGCAAUCAUGUCGACUUACCAUCUUCUCAUCCAUUUCUUAAUGAAGAACAGAAUGGGAAAAAUGCGAGG